Molecule: long non-coding RNA, 889 nt
Filed under: Lactuca sativa (garden lettuce)
Lineage: Eukaryota; Viridiplantae; Streptophyta; Magnoliopsida; Asterales; Asteraceae
Description: long non-coding RNA (LSAT_LNC007745)
Source: RNAcentral
UUCUAGAUGGAGACCUUAGCUCCUUCAAUUCAAACCCUAAUUUCUGCUAAUUUCACCUCCAGAUCUGUUUCCGCCACUGGAUUUUCUCUACCAUGCCUUAAAUCUCCGGUGCUAUGUCAACCGCGCAGACUCACCCUCAUUAAAGCCUCAGUCGCCGUCGAACAACAAACUCAGAAAAAGGUCGCCCUUAUCAGAAUUGGUACCAGAGGGAGGUAAUGUUUCUUAUUUCCUUUCAUCUUAUCGUUUUUGGUUUCAUAAGCGUAUGUUUGCGUUUGAUUUGUUUCGUAAUUUUGUAUUGUUCGAAGAAUAGGAUUGAUGAUUUACUAGCACAAAUUUAAGACCCAAAUCUCGUGUGUUCUGAUCAAUUUAUCAAUUAUCAUCACUGCUAUAUUUCUAUAUAUGUAGUAAAAUCUUCAAUUACUUAAUUCUGGAAGCAAUAGCUUCAUCUAGCUAAUUUGAAAUUAACGCUAAUCAUGAUCGUGAAAAAUACUAAUAUACAUAGUACAUUGAUAACUGGAUAUGGUUCAAGCACAUCUGAAGAUAAGAAGUGUAUUACAUUUUUCUAAGAUUCAUGUCUUCCAUUCCUGCUGUUUUUCUUAAUUUAUCAUCCGUUUUAAGGAAAUCCGUUUACAUUUCUUGUGUAGAACAGUCCAUUAGCUCUAGCACAAGCUUACGAGACACGAGAUAAGCUCAUUGCUACAAGUAGUGAAUUAGCAGAAGAGGGAGCUAUCGAAAUCGUAGUAAUCAAAACAACAGGUGACAAAAUUUUGAGUCAACCUCUUGCAGACAUUGGUGGAAAGGGUUUGUUCACUAAAGAAAUUGAUGAAGCACUUCUAAACAGUGAAAUCGAUAUUGCUGUUCAUUCCAUGAAAGAUGUUCCUACUUAUCU